This 433-nucleotide ribosomal RNA is filed under the name uncultured bacterium. RNAcentral's name for it is "partial 16S ribosomal RNA". It matches the Rfam family "Bacterial small subunit ribosomal RNA", at positions 29 to 507 of the family's 1533-position model. The record is from RNAcentral.
AACGAACGCUGGCGGCAUGCCUAACACAUGCAAGUCGAACGAGACCUUCGGGUCUAGUGGCGCACGGGUGCGUAACGCGUGGGAACCUGCCCUUAGGUUCGGAAUAACUCCCCGAAAGGGGUGCUAAUACCGGAUAAUGUCUUCGGACCAAAGAUUUAUCGCCUUUGGAUGGGCCCGCGUUGGAUUAGCUAGUUGGUAGGGUAAAAGCCUACCAAGGCGACGAUCCAUAGCUGGUCUGAGAGGAUGAUCAGCCACACUGGGACUGAGACACGGCCAAGACUCCUACGGGAGGCAGCAGUGGGGAAUAUUGGACAGUGGGCGAAAGCCUGAUCCAGCAAUGCCGCGUGAGUGAUGAAGGCCUUAGGGUUGUAAAGCUCUUUUACCCGGGAUGAUAAUGACAGUACCGGGAGAAUAAGCUCCGGCUAACUCCGUG